Molecule: ribosomal RNA, 253 nt
Filed under: uncultured bacterium
Lineage: Bacteria
Description: partial 16S ribosomal RNA
Rfam family: Bacterial small subunit ribosomal RNA
Source: RNAcentral
UACGGGGGGGGCAAGCGUUGUUCGGAAUUACUGGGCGUAAAGGGUCUGUAGGUGGCUUGCUAAGUCAGACGUGAAAUCCCUCGGCUUAACCGGGGAACUGCGUCUGAUACUGGCGAGCUUGAGUGCAGGAGAGGAACGCGGAAUUCCAGGUGUAGCGGUGAAAUGCGUAGAUAUCAGGAGGAAUACCGAUGGCGAAGGCAGGUCUCUGGGCUGACACUGACGCUCAUGCACGAAAGCGUGGGGAGCAAACAGG